AGUGAACGCUGGCGGUAGGCCUAACACAUGCAAGUCGAACGGCAGCACAGUAAGGGCUUGCUCUUACGGGUGGCGAGUGGCGGACGGGUGAGGAAUACAUCGGAAUCUACUUUUUCGUGGGGGAUAACGUAGGGAAACUUACGCUAAUACCGCAUACGACCUACGGGUGAAAGCAGGGGAUCUUCGGACCUUGCGCGAUUGAAUGAGCCGAUGUCGGAUUAGCUAGUUGGCGGGGUAAAGGCCCACCAAGGCGACGAUCCGUAGCUGGUCUGAGAGGAUGAUCAGCCACACUGGAACUGAGACACGGUCCAGACUCCUACGGGAGGCAGCAGUGGGGAAUAUUGGACAAUGGGCGCAAGCCUGAUCCAGCCAUACCGCGUGGGUGAAGAAGGCCUUCGGGUUGUAAAGCCCUUUUGUUGGGAAAGAAAAGCAGCAGGUUAAUACCCCGCUGUUCUGACGGUACCCAAAGAAUAAGCCCCGGCUAACUUCGUG
This 492-nucleotide ribosomal RNA is filed under the name uncultured bacterium. Its description in RNAcentral is "partial 16S ribosomal RNA". It matches the Rfam family "Bacterial small subunit ribosomal RNA", at positions 29 to 507 of the family's 1533-position model. The record is from RNAcentral.